GCUACGGAAUGAAAAUUUUACCUUAACUGGUUCUAAGCUACAGCCUCACAUCAUGCUUUUGUGAAGAUGAAGCAGUGCUUCACUGCUCACCCAAACCAGGGUGCCAGAUUUCACAAUGUGAUCCAAUACCCAGCGGAUGGGGCGGCUUAGGCUUCAACAUUGAAAAACACCUUCAUGCAAAAGAAUUCCCGAUUACCUGCAAAACAACGAGUAUUGCUAAAUUUCAGAAUCCUUACGGCUUGCUUUCUGCUGUUUCCAGAAAUGUGUUAGAUAUCAGUCAUAUCAGAUCAAAAUUGAAAGCGUUGGAAAGUACUGUCAAUGAAAACAAGACAAAAGAAUAUGAAAGUGAAAAUUCGGGAUACGUGGAUCUGAGCAACAAAUUCGAGGAACUAUCGGGUAAGAUCGAAGAUAUCCAGAAGUUAACUGCACAUCAGUCUCAGGCGAUAAACUACAUACUGCAUACCCUUAUCGACCACACUACCAAAAUGAAGAAUCUAAAAAGGAAAACUGCAGAACAAUCGUCGAAAACUACUGAUAUAAUUGAUGAAAAUACCAAUCAAUUGCCCCGAAUACGAAAAGAAUACG
Styela clava is the source of this 585-nucleotide non-coding RNA. The record is from RefSeq and is a predicted model, not a curated record. NCBI's taxonomy places the organism in Eukaryota, Metazoa, Chordata, Ascidiacea, Stolidobranchia, Styelidae.